This 273-nucleotide ribosomal RNA is filed under the name uncultured Legionella sp. RNAcentral's name for it is "partial 16S ribosomal RNA". It matches the Rfam family "Bacterial small subunit ribosomal RNA", at positions 524 to 796 of the family's 1533-position model. Lineage: Bacteria; Pseudomonadati; Pseudomonadota; Gammaproteobacteria; Legionellales; Legionellaceae. The record is from RNAcentral.
UACGGAGGGUGCAAGCGUUAAUCGGAAUUACUGGGCGUAAAGCGUGCGUAGGUGGUUGAUUAAGUUAUCUGUGAAAUCCCUGGGCUUAACCUGGGCAGGUCAGAUGAUACUGGUUGACUCGAGUAUGGGAGAGGGUAGUGGAAUUUCCGGUGUAGCGGUGAAAUGCGUAGAGAUCGGAAGGAACACCAGUGGCGAAGGCGGCUACCUGGCCUAAUACUGACACUGAGGCACGAAAGCGUGGGGAGCAAACAGGAUUAGAUACCCCCGUAGUCC